CCUACGGGGAGCAGCAGUGGGGAAUAUUGGACAAUGGGCGAAAGCCUGAUCCAGCCAUGCCGCGUGUGUGAAGAAGGCCUUCGGGUUGUAAAGCACUUUCAGUGGGGAAGAAAGCCUUGGGGCUAAUACCCUCGAGGAAGGACAUCACCCACAGAAGAAGCACCGGCUAACUCCGUGCCAGCAGCCGCGGUAAUACGGAGGGUGCGAGCGUUAAUCGGAAUUACUGGGCGUAAAGCGCGCGUAGGCGGUCUGAUAAGCCGGUUGUGAAAGCCCCGGGCUCAACCUGGGAACGGCAUCCGGAACUGUCAGGCUAGAGUGCAGGAGAGGAAGGUAGAAUUCCCGGUGUAGCGGUGAAAUGCGUAGAGAUCGGGAGGAAUACCAGUGGCGAAGGCGGCCUUCUGGACUGACACUGACGCUGAGGUGCGAAAGCGUGGGUAGCAAACAGGAUUAGAUACCCUAGUAGU
This 464-nucleotide ribosomal RNA is filed under the name Vreelandella stevensii. RNAcentral's name for it is "partial 16S ribosomal RNA". It matches the Rfam family "Bacterial small subunit ribosomal RNA", at positions 338 to 794 of the family's 1533-position model. The record is from RNAcentral. Lineage: Bacteria; Pseudomonadati; Pseudomonadota; Gammaproteobacteria; Oceanospirillales; Halomonadaceae.